Molecule: ribosomal RNA, 352 nt
Filed under: uncultured Ascobolus
Lineage: Eukaryota; Fungi; Ascomycota; Pezizomycetes; Pezizales; Ascobolaceae
Description: SSU rRNA
Rfam family: Eukaryotic small subunit ribosomal RNA
Source: RNAcentral
CUUGUAGUCAUAUGCUUGUCUCAAAGAUUAAGCCAUGCAUGUCUAAGUAUAAGCAACUUGUACAGUGAAACUGCGAAUGGCUCAUUAAAUCAGUUAUCGUUUAUUUGAUAAUCCCUUACUACAUGGAUACCUGUGGUAAUUCUAGAGCUAAUACAUGCUUCAAGGAGUGGCUUUCGUCACUCUGCACUUAUUAGAUAAAAAACCAAUGCCCCUUUGGGGCUCCCUGGUGAUUCAUAAUAAUUUAGCGGACCGCAUUCCCUCGAGGAGGCGGUGGAUCAUUCAAAUUUCUGCCCUAUCAACUUUCGAUGGUAGGAUAGUGGCCUACCAUGGUUUCAACGGGUAAACGGGGAUA